AACGAACGCUGGCGGCAGGCUUAACACAUGCAAGUCGAACGCCCCGCAAGGGGAGUGGCAGACGGGUGAGUAACACGUGGGAACGUGCCCUAAGGUUUGGAAUAUUCUCGGGAAACUGGGAGCAAUACCAAAUGUGACCGCAAGGUGAAAGAUUUAUCGCCUUUAGGAUCGGCCCGCGUCAGAUUAGGUAGUUGGUGGGGUAAUGGCCUACCAAGCCGACGAUCUGUAGCUGGUCUGAGAGGACGACCAGCCACACUGGGACUGAGACGACGGCCCAGACUCCUACGGGACGGCAGCAGUGGGGAAUCUUGGACAAUGGGCGCAAGCCUGAUCCAGCCAUGCCGCGUGAGUGAUGAAGGCCCUAGGGUUGUAAAACUCUUUCGUGGGGGACGAGUAAUGACGGGUACCCCAAG
RNAcentral lists this ribosomal RNA (413 nucleotides) under uncultured bacterium. RNAcentral describes it as "bacterial SSU rRNA". It matches the Rfam family "Bacterial small subunit ribosomal RNA", at positions 29 to 484 of the family's 1533-position model. The record is from RNAcentral.